RNAcentral lists this unclassified non-coding RNA (438 nucleotides) under uncultured Tomentella. RNAcentral's name for it is "sequence contains ITS2". The stretch from base 1 to 155 matches the Rfam family "5.8S ribosomal RNA". Lineage: Eukaryota; Fungi; Basidiomycota; Agaricomycetes; Thelephorales; Thelephoraceae. The record is from RNAcentral.
AACUUUUGGCAAUGGAUCACUUGGCUCUCGCAUCGAUGAAGAACGCAGCGAAAUGCGAGAAGUAAUGGGAAUUGCAGAAUUCAGUGAAUCAUCGAAUCUUUGAACGCACCUUGCGCCCCUUGGUUAUUCCUUGGGGCAUGCCUGUUUGAGUAUCAUGAACACCUCAACUCUCAUGGUCUUCCAUGACGAGCUUGUACUUUGGGGGUUUGCUGGCCCUGCGGCCGGCUCCUCUCAAACACAUCAGCUUGCCAGUGUUUGGCGGCAUCUCACGGGUGUGAUAACUAUCUACGCUCGCGGUUGUCUGCCAGGUAACCCUCAGCGAUGGAGGUUCAUUGGGGCUCAUAAACGUCUCUCCUCGGCGAGGACAACUUUUGAACGUUCGAUCUCAAAUCAGGUAGGACUACCCGCUGAACUUAAGCAUAUCAAUAAGCGGAGGAU